This 465-nucleotide ribosomal RNA is filed under the name uncultured bacterium. Its description in RNAcentral is "partial 16S ribosomal RNA". It matches the Rfam family "Bacterial small subunit ribosomal RNA", at positions 28 to 507 of the family's 1533-position model. The record is from RNAcentral.
GACGAACGCUGGCGGCGUGCUUAACACAUGCAAGUCGAACGGAAAGGCCCUGCAUGCAGCGUCCUCGCGUGGCGAACGGGGAAGUAACACGAGGGUGUGCUGCACUGCACGUCGGGGUAAGCCUGGUACACUAGGUCUAAUAUCGUACAGGAGCCAUUUUUAGUGUGAUGGUUGGAAAGUUUUUUCGGUGUAGGGUGAGCUCGCGGCCUAUCAGCUUGUUGGUGGGGUAAUGGCUUACCAAGGCGGAGACGGGUAGCCGGACUGAGAGGGUGGACGGCCACAUUGGGACUGAGAUACGGCCGAGACUCCUACUGGAGGCAGCAGUGGGGAAGAUUGCACAAGGGGCGCCAGCCUGAUGCAGCGACGCCGCGUGGUGUAUGACGGCCUUCGGGUUGUGAACGCCUUUCGCUAGGGACGAAGCUUUUUGUGACGUUACCUAGAUAAGAAGCACCGGCUAACUACGUG